AUUUUUGUGACGUGCGUUAAUGAUUGUUGACUGUUGUGAAGUUUGUUUUAUACUGGAAAAUAGUUCGGAAAGUGUGUGGCGUCCCCUGCCUUACUGCUACACCGGGUCUGAAGAAGAUAUAAAGUGUAUUACAGGAUCAUUAUACCAGCAGAAGUCAGCGAUAUUUGAUCCUGCUCUGGUCUGUGUGCUGGGGCCGGAGGGGCUUCAGAAUAAUUAAAUUUUAAAAUAAAACAAUUUUAAACACUUUGAAAAUAAAUUUUUUUAAACAUA
Molecule: long non-coding RNA, 270 nt
Organism: Schistocerca serialis cubense
Lineage: Eukaryota; Metazoa; Arthropoda; Insecta; Orthoptera; Acrididae
Exons: 2
Source: RefSeq, a predicted model, not a curated record